Molecule: ribosomal RNA, 1148 nt
Filed under: Escherichia coli
Lineage: Bacteria; Pseudomonadati; Pseudomonadota; Gammaproteobacteria; Enterobacterales; Enterobacteriaceae
Description: partial 23S ribosomal RNA
Rfam family: Bacterial large subunit ribosomal RNA
Source: RNAcentral
GGUUAAGCGACUAAGCGUACACGGUGGAUGCCCUGGCAGUCAGAGGCGAUGAAGGACGUGCUAAUCUGCGAUAAGCGUCGGUAAGGUGAUAUGAACCGUUAUAACCGGCGAUUUCCGAAUGGGGAAACCCAGUGUGUUUCGACACACUAUCAUUAACUGAAUCCAUAGGUUAAUGAGGCGAACCGGGGGAACUGAAACAUCUAAGUACCCCGAGGAAAAGAAAUCAACCGAGAUUCCCCCAGUAGCGGCGAGCGAACGGGGAGCAGCCCAGAGCCUGAAUCAGUGUGUGUGUUAGUGGAAGCGUCUGGAAAGGCGCGCGAUACAGGGUGACAGCCCCGUACACAAAAAUGCACAUACUGUGAGCUCGAUGAGUAGGGCGGGACACGUGGUAUCCUGUCUGAAUAUGGGGGGACCAUCCUCCAAGGCUAAAUACUCCUGACUGACCGAUAGUGAACCAGUACCGUGAGGGAAAGGCGAAAAGAACCCCGGCGAGGGGAGUGAAAAAGAACCUGAAACCGUGUACGUACAAGCAGUGGGAGCCUCUUAAUGGGGUGACUGCGUACCUUUUGUAUAAUGGGUCAGCGACUUAUAUUCUGUAGCAAGGUUAACCGAAUAGGGGAGCCGAAGGGAAACCGAGUCUUAACUGGGCGUUAAGUUGCAGGGUAUAGACCCGAAACCCGGUGAUCUAGCCAUGGGCAGGUUGAAGGUUGGGUAACACUAACUGGAGGACCGAACCGACUAAUGUUGAAAAAUUAGCGGAUGACUUGUGGCUGGGGGUGAAAGGCCAAUCAAACCGGGAGAUAGCUGGUUCUCCCCGAAAGCUAUUUAGGUAGCGCCUCGUGAAUUCAUCUCCGGGGGUAGAGCACUGUUUCGGCAAGGGGGUCAUCCCGACUUACCAACCCGAUGCAAACUGCGAAUACCGGAGAAUGUUAUCACGGGAGACACACGGCGGGUGCUAACGUCCGUCGUGAAGAGGGAAACAACCCAGACCGCCAGCUAAGGUCCCAAAGUCAUGGUUAAGUGGGAAACGAUGUGGGAAGGCCCAGACAGCCAGGAUGUUGGCUUAGAAGCAGCCAUCAUUUAAAGAAAGCGUAAUAGCUCACUGGUCGAGUCGGCCUGCGCGGAAGAUGUAACGGGGCUAAACCAUG